Triticum aestivum (bread wheat) is the source of this 2061-nucleotide long non-coding RNA. RefSeq lists it as uncharacterized. Lineage: Eukaryota; Viridiplantae; Streptophyta; Magnoliopsida; Poales; Poaceae. The record is from RefSeq and is a predicted model, not a curated record. The transcript has 3 exons.
GGUUCCGGCUUUUUUAUCUUUAGGCAAACGGCUUGGUUCUGGCUGUUCGUAACUUCGUAUUUCACGGGGGCAGCACAGCCCAUAGCCUGUCAAGCCCAGAAAAACGCCCUUUCUUUAAAUUUUUCUAUAAGCGGGCCCAAGCCAACUCAACCACGCAAAUAAGCAGCGAUUUUCCCUUCGUUCCAGGUUCCACCUUCUCCUCCCGGAGGGAAACCCUGUCUAUCCGAUCUAGUUUUCUUUCGCCCGUGUGGCGGCGGCGGUAGAUCGGAGGCAACGAAGCGCGACGACGGCUACAGGAGCAGCUGCUCUCUCCUCCAACUCCUGUAGGGUUUCUUGAGGGCGCCCCGCUGUGGAAGCUGCCUGUGGCGUCGGGGCCCUCCAUGGCGCGCAGCGGCGGACCCAGCCUGCGCCGCGGCCGGACCAGCCUGGUCGCGCAGUGGUGGCACAGCUUGUGGACUGAAAUCUCACUUUGUGGUGCCACUCGUCCAUACACUUGUCAAUUCCAUCGGAGAAAAUGAUGGUGAGGAUGAGUCUUGGUGAUGUGGGUACUGGCUAUGGCUUCCUUUUGCGGAACCUCAGAUUGACAUGGAGCACAGACCAUAGAAGCAGGCCGGAGUUCUGCUGGAGGACCGUCAAGCUCGACCAGCAACCUGGGUUAACAUGUGUACGACGCUGAACUCUCUCCUCUUCAGAUAUUAGUUUCGUUCUGUUCCUCCCUCUUACCAAGUUCUUGUUGCUCGAUUGUGAGAUGCUUGUAUAGUACUCCCCUAGUAUUUGCUAGGUCAGAUUGUAUGGAAGUUAGUUGAUAUGUGUCACUUAAGUUGGAAUUUGUAAACUGAAUUGUACCCGUUCUGAUUUAAGAGAAAUUAUUUUGAGAACCAAGAUAGUACUCCCCCAUUGUGAAAUGGGUUAGUAAUUAAAUAGUAGUUGCAGUAAAAUAUUUUCAUUGUGCUGAUGCUCCCCCAUUUUUGUUAUGUUAUUUUGUAGUUUUGAACUCCUUUUGAGGGACUGUGAAUAGAUUUGCAAGUGAAUUGCUGUUGUAGAACUGCAGUGAGAGUUGUAUGAGAGAUUCGGCAUGAUUUUGGAAAAUUACUAAUGGAGAACUGAUUCACUGAACUUGUUUGUAGCAAUCAGAAGUCAAUACUGGCUAAUGAACAUUACUGUCCAAGCAAGCAGAUACUACAAGUUAAGAUCAAAUCCUAAACACGCUUUUUAUUCGGCCUAUGACCAUAGUGUAAUUGUAAGUAAUUUAUUCCUAGAUGGACGUGUCUUAUUGAUCACACUUCCAAUCAAAUGUGUGCCAAUGACAACAACUAAGCUAUGCAGAAGUUGUUCAUGCUUUCUUUACUAUUCUAGGUCGCUUGAAUGUUUCUUCCUUCGAGGCUUUGUUAAAUAUUCUGUUUUUGGCACCAUUUUAAUUUGUGAAGGAGUACCUACUACAAUGCUAAUUUUUUCCUAUCCAGAUUUGAAACUUUGAGUUCAGAUCUAAUUUACGUGUGUCCUCUUAAUACUAAUAGUUUUCUUACCUUUUGAUGUAUUAAUAGGUGUUUAUUCUAAUAUAAUAUUUCGGAUGUCCUUUUAUGCUCACACAUACAACAUGUUUUUCUUAAUAUCACUUACUAGACAAGUACUAGUAAGUCUUUUUUUGUUAAGAUUCCAUAGUGCUUCGAGUAAUAAAUUUGUUUGUUCUUUGUUGAAAUCGUAGAUUUUUUUUCUGUAACACAUUCAUAAUGCUAUAUUUAUGCCUUUGUUUCCAAUAGGUUGAUUUGUAAGUCAUCUUUCAAGAAGUUGAUAUGGACAAAGGAGGAUUAUACCAACUCUAGUUGCCUUCAAGAAGUCACGAGAAGAGGCAUCCAACAAAGGUUUCGAGUUUUGAGGAAGGCGGUAGCUAAGAGUCACACCCACACAGUCUCUAUUGACGACCUCUAAAAAAAUUGUUUUAUUGGAUGACAAUGUAGCUUCGGUUAUUUUGGAUGGAGCAUGUAAGUGUAAUGUGUAAUAUGCACGCUGUAUAGAGACUAGUUGGCUUGUAAUAUGAUGUGAAAAUUGGUUAAUGGACAG